UCCACUCAACCCCUGUGCACUUUCGAAGUCGUGGUCCUCCGUCGCGGGAGCCGCCUCGUCAUCUCUUUGACGGGGCCGGGGCCGCGCUUCGCCUUUCAUCACAAACUCUUUUAAAUGUCUUGUAGAAUGUGAAAUGCCUCUUUGUGGGCGAAACUUAAUACAACUUUCAACAACGGAUCUCUUGGCUCUCGCAUCGAUGAAGAACGCAGCGAAAUGCGAUAAGUAAUGUGAAUUGCAGAAUUCAGUGAAUCAUCGAAUCUUUGAACGCACCUUGCGCUCCUUGGUAUUCCGAGGAGCAUGCCUGUUUGAGUGUCAUGAAAUCAUCAACCCCCCUCUCUCUGUCUCUUCGGAGACUUCGGAGGGGUGGCUUGGACUUGGGGAUCUGCUGGCCCUUCGGGAUUCGGCUUCCCUUGAAUGCAUUAGCCAGACUUCGGUUCGCAGCGGCUCAGCGGUGUGAUAAUAUCUUCACUGCGGCCGGCUCGGCAGUGUCAAGUUCGGCUUCUAAUCGUCCGUCUCGGACACACCUUCAUUGACAAUCUGACCUCAAAUCAGGUAGGACUACCCGCUGAAC
RNAcentral lists this ribosomal RNA (571 nucleotides) under uncultured fungus. Its description in RNAcentral is "eukaryotic LSU rRNA". The stretch from base 162 to 315 matches the Rfam family "5.8S ribosomal RNA". The record is from RNAcentral. Lineage: Eukaryota; Fungi.